GGCUCAAUGGUCUAGUGGUAUGAUUCCUGCUUUGGGUUCUUCACCCUUCUAUUAUAUAGAUUGCAGGAGGCCCCGGGUUCAAAUCCCGGUUGAGCCC
Molecule: transfer RNA, 97 nt
Filed under: Poronia punctata
Lineage: Eukaryota; Fungi; Ascomycota; Sordariomycetes; Xylariales; Xylariaceae
Description: tRNA-Pro
Rfam family: tRNA
About the family: Transfer RNA (tRNA) molecules are approximately 80 nucleotides in length.
Source: RNAcentral